UAAACUAGCCGUUCAACAACUAGUAUCAACACCCAACUACAACCAGCCACGUCACCAUCACCUUUGCCCCUACGCCCGGCCUCAUCUCCAAGACCUCACCUCCACGCCGAUGCUUCACCCACCCUCUCCACGCCACCACAUCGUUUAGUCUUACAGGUUCGACUAAAACCUAUAACAAAACCGACCAGCCUAUACAAAAAUAUGUUUAACACAACAUAAUAUCUAAAUUUUGAUAUUAUUUACUAAAAAUAUAAUAAAAAACAAAUAUCAUGAACAAAGCCUUGGCAAUGAUUUAGCACUUGUUUGUCUAGACGAUUUUGAUUUCAAGAGUUUGCUCAUCUGAGUUUGCAUUUUCCUACAAACUUUUUCCAAUUCAACUACUCUCCAUUGCAUCCCUUCUAAAUGUGCUUUCAUCUUCUCAUUUUCACUAACAAUAUCUUCUUUUGCUUCAUACGGUACAACUUGUUCAGCAUAGAUUACAACUUGCUCGCGCAUCUCGUCAUUUUUUGUUUCGGUUGCCACUAGUUCAUGUGGCGGGAGGACAAACCGUUUUUGGACGUCCAUGCCACGAAAAAGGUUUUCAAGCUUGAGUUGUUGACCUUUGAGAGCUAACGCAGCGUAUCUUGGCGGGAAUUUGGCGUUUUGAGUGAGAUGAUUGCAACUUUCUGAUGAAAGUUUGGUGUAGUCAAGACUGUUGAAUAUGCUCGUUUUUUCUUCGUCUGAUAAUCCCGUGUGGACCUAUAUAGAAUAGUUAUAGAUAAUCGACGCUUUGAGUGUUUCGGAAUUUUUGUUGCCAACUUAUAAAAAAAGUAAAACUUUUACUUUUUUCUGACACGUACAAACAUAAAACUUGGUGCCAGAAAUGACACAUUUGCAGAAAAGAAAUUUAAAUGUCAUUUCUGGCACCAAAAUAGGUCAGGAAUUCUCAUUUAAUUCGAGAUUUAAGGGAUUUCAAACAUUCAAAUUGCAUUAAAUAACUACCAAAUCAAUUUUCUUUUUCUAAGUCACAAGGCUUCAAAAACCAUUACUAAAACCAUUUAAUGAAAAAAAGAACCGUCACAAAAUAACCCAAAACAAUCAAUUUUGAAAAGUAAAACGGUUUUAGUAACACUUUUUUAAAAUGUAAACAACUGUUACCUGAAGAUAAAUGUUGAUGGCGUGAUAGAUAUCAUCAUACGAGUCUCGAGCGGACUCAGGGAGAGCCUUUACAAGAGCCAAGAAUAUACACGGCUUCAAACGGGGAUCAGGGGCGACUUCUGCAACAUACGAGUCUAUCAAUCCAGCAACUUUCGUAAACUCAGAAAUGGGAACUCCGGGUCCACUUCUUGCGGUUAAAAAAUGCUUCACAAACUGUAAAACAAGAUUAACAUCAUAAAGAUAAUUCGACCCAUGUGGAGAUGGAACAAGAAGAUUGUCUAGAGUGGCUUGAUCCAACUGGGAACCGAUCAUACGCUCUAAAAUGUUCCUGUGGAUCUUCUUAACAUUUACAUUUAAAGCAACCCGUAAUAUCCCAAAUAAAUUCUUGCAAGAAACCGAGGUUUGAUCUAGCAAAGAAAGACAAUCAAUGACGGUUUCGAGUAUCUCUAGUUUUUCGUUUGGAGUGGCGUCGAAAAAUCUAGACUUUUGAUAGUAAAACAGAAACCUGCUGGAAACCCCGUGAUCGAAUUUGUAAAGAACAAUCGAUUUGACCAAUUGUUUGACUAAACUUGGAGUCAAAAUAUUGGCCAGAUCUUCAAACCACCAUGAUGACCGCAAAAACCCGCUUCUAAGACUCUCGGUGCUUUUGCUAUCAGUUGAUAACCGAAGGCCCGAGCUCUCGGGUGAUGAGCUAGAGGGACAUGAAGGGCUCGUUUCACUUGUGAAAACGAGCCUAGCAACUACGGAAUCCAAACAUUUUUCAUGAAUUUGGGAAGAACUCUCGGCCGGGACUAAAUCUAGAGAAUUCUUUAAAGCUGAUAGAAGCUCGGGCCAACUCCAAAACUUGAUUUCUUCAAUGGAUUUCUUCAUUUGCUCGAGCAAAUUGAGAGAUCCACUGAUUGUUUCAUUCAUUUCCAAGUAAUGUGCAGCGCAUAACAAGCGAUGCGCGUUGUAGGGGUUUAUAACGAUUUUGCCAUUGUUGUAGCAGAAUCUUGUAACCAGCUCAAAACUUCCGGGUCCUCCUGGAAAAUCAUGCAAUAUAAUUUUGAGAUUCCUUGUCACGCCUUUGGAUUUAUCGAAUAAGUUUCUGAUUUUUCCACAAUAUGAUGAGAUGAUUACCUUAUGAAUGAAGAAUGUUUCUUCACCAUUAACAUCCACCUCAACAUCACAAACAGCAGCCAUUGAUACCCAGACGAAGAAGAAGAGUAUUAACACCAAAAGGAUGAAGAUAAUGACACAAAAUUAGUGGGAAUCUUGAAAGUCUCAAUCUGGUGGAUUUAGCUAAGAGAAGAUGUGAAGACAAAGUGCUAGAAAUCAAAAAAUGAUUCGGAAAUGAGUAAGAGACAAAGGGAAAAGGGGUUGCUUUGGUUUGAGUAAACAAGUUGAGUUGCGUUGAGGGGAAGAUACAGAGAAAUGUGAAUAAUAAAAAAAGAGAUGGAUCAGGGGAGUGGCAGAGGC
RNAcentral lists this long non-coding RNA (2595 nucleotides) under Helianthus annuus (common sunflower). Its description in RNAcentral is "hypothetical non coding rna". Lineage: Eukaryota; Viridiplantae; Streptophyta; Magnoliopsida; Asterales; Asteraceae. The record is from RNAcentral.